GGGGCCAUAGCUCAGCUGGGAGAGCGCGUGGCUGGCAGCCACGAGGUCGGGGGUUCGAGCCCCCCUGGCUCCA
RNAcentral lists this transfer RNA (73 nucleotides) under Solirubrobacterales bacterium. RNAcentral describes it as "tRNA-Ala". It matches the Rfam family "tRNA". Rfam says of the family: Transfer RNA (tRNA) molecules are approximately 80 nucleotides in length. Their secondary structure includes four short double-helical elements and three loops (D, anti-codon, and T loops). Lineage: Bacteria; Bacillati; Actinomycetota; Thermoleophilia; Solirubrobacterales. RNAcentral also lists the same sequence under 2 other names. The record is from RNAcentral.